Molecule: ribosomal RNA, 253 nt
Filed under: uncultured bacterium
Lineage: Bacteria
Description: partial 16S ribosomal RNA
Rfam family: Bacterial small subunit ribosomal RNA
Source: RNAcentral
UACGGAGGGAGCUAGCGUUGUUCGGAAUUACUGGGCGUAAAGCGCACGUAGGCGGCUUUCUAAGUCAGGGGUGAAAUCCUGGAGCUCAACUCCAGAACUGCCUUUGAUACUGGAGAGCUUGAGUCCGGAAGAGGUGAGUGGAACUCCGAGUGUAGAGGUGAAAUUCGUAGAUAUUCGGAAGAACACCAGUGGCGAAGGCGGCUCACUGGUCCGGUACUGACGCUGAGGUGCGAAAGCGUGGGGAGCAAACAGG